Molecule: ribosomal RNA, 352 nt
Filed under: uncultured Pseudomonas sp.
Lineage: Bacteria; Pseudomonadati; Pseudomonadota; Gammaproteobacteria; Pseudomonadales; Pseudomonadaceae
Description: bacterial SSU rRNA
Rfam family: Bacterial small subunit ribosomal RNA
Source: RNAcentral
CAAUAUACAAGGUGCUGCAUGGUUGUGUCAGCUCGUGCCGUGAGGUGCGGGUUAAGUCCGUAACGAGCGCAACCCUUGUCCUUAGUUACCAGCACGUUAUGGUGGGCACUCUAAGGAGACUGCCGGUGACAAACCGGAGGAAGUGGGGAUGACGUCAAGUCAUCAUGGCCCUUACGGCCUGGGCUACACACGUGCUACAAUGGUCGGUACAAAGGGUUGCCAAGCCGCGAGGUGGAGCUAAUCCCAUAAAACCGAUCGUAGUCCGGAUCGCAGUCUGCAACUCGACUGCGUGAAGUCGGAAUCGCUAGUAAUCGUGAAUCAGAAUGUCACGGUGAAUACGUUCCCGGGCCUU